Molecule: long non-coding RNA, 1883 nt
Organism: Lutra lutra (Eurasian river otter)
Lineage: Eukaryota; Metazoa; Chordata; Mammalia; Carnivora; Mustelidae
Exons: 3
Source: RefSeq, a predicted model, not a curated record
AUUGUACUAGAAAAUAACUCCAAAAGUGUAACAAUACACUUGGUUCUCUGGGGAUGAGUCAACAGGCAGUCUCAAAGAUGGGUGGUGGGGGUAUAAAUUUGCUUCAUUGCUGUGAAGGAAAACUCUGCACUCUCCCAAUUACGAAUUCUACCUAUAGAUUUCUCUGGUAGAAAUAAACACUACUAAUGAACACUGCCUGCCUGGGAAAUGACUCGCACAGGUGUUUUUCACUACAGUAGUGUUUCUGAGAACAAAGGAUUAGAAGCUAUUUAAAUGUCAUUAUAUUGAGACAGGGAAAAUGUAUUAUGGUGCAUCAAUAUACUCACUUGUAAUAAUAUUAACUGAAUAAAAAAUUGAGGAAGAGACUUACAUAGUGAUAAAAGUAUCUAAAAUAAAUUAUUAAGUGGGAAAAGUCAAGUGCCAAAAUAAUGAGUAUGGUAGUUCACUAUUUGUGCAAAAGUAAGGUGAAAAAUACCUGUAUCAGCUUAUAUUCACUCAUACAACUUUUCUGGAAGACAAAUAAAACUGCUAACAGUUACCUGGUAUUAGUAAUGAGGAAGGGGGAGGGGAGAAAGAGGCAUCUUUCCAUGGCUUUUGAUGCUUGUACCACGUAAAUUACCCAUAACUAAAAUUGAAAUGCUAACUCUUAAAAAGUGUUUAGCCUCUUGGGAUAUAAAUUAGCAUCUAAGAAUAAGGAGCUGGAGAUUUUUAUUUUUUACAUGUAACCAUUCUGAUUUUUUUCUUUUUUUUUUUUUUUUUUUUUUGGAACAUGCGUGAGUAACCUAAAUGUACAUGUAUAAUCAAAAGGAACAAACGCAGAAGACAAGAGUAUUUUGAAAAGAGGUUUUUUUUCAUUUGGUAUCUCAUUAAAGAGAAAGGUUUUUUAAUAUUAAAACAUAGAUUUGCUUUGUAAGGUGUGGGGUUUCUUGACUGGUUGUAACACCUUAUGGAGAAAUACGUUAAAUGCUUUGUUUUGUAUGUAGAAGGACUCGUGGAAAUGACAGACUUCAUAAACAAAUAACAGAAGUAAGGGGCUCAAAAUGACAAGAGAGUAAACAUUUCUGAGAAGAAAAAGGUUAUGGUUCUAGCUUGUCUACACUUGCCCUUUGUCUAUACUAGGCCCUUGAUUUCGGUGAAAUAUUUAGAUCCAGUUUAAGGAAGGUGUCACGUGAAGGGGCACGUGGGGCACAUUUGACAAAUAAGCAGGGUCACCGGGUCUUUCAGGAAGGGGCACGCACGGUAGCGGGUGUUGAAAGGUCCGAGGGAAGUGCUUACCAACGUCAUGGGAAAAUGACAGGUGUCUGGGAGCGGUGGCCGGCGGCCCGGCAGCUCUGAGUUUGCGUGGCUGCGGCGCACGCAUACCAUUUCCCUUGGCCAAGGGGACAGGUGCACCCACUUGCCAUAGCAGAACACAGGCAGGAUCGCUUCGGGUUGUUUUCCGAAUUUUUCUGCAUUUUUUACUUAUUUAAUUUCUUCUAAUUUUUUUUACCUCCUUCACCUGUUUCUCCCCCCACCAUCGCCACCCCCAACAAAUAGCUUCUUCUUUAUUACUUAUUCCAACAUCAGAAAAGAAUCGAGAGUUCCUUCUCAUUUAUAUGCUUACUGGAAACAUUGAGAGUUUUUGGCUCGUGGAAAGAGGAUGGUCCCUCUACUGGACAGAAUUCACUUGCAUGCCUGUCCCUAAGAAUUAUGUCAUGUUGCUUUUAGAUAUCUGAGAUGUCCAGAGCUGGAAAAUAGCUCCCUGGUAACGAAAAGCUAGAAUCAGGUAACUGGCAAAAUGUGCUUUAGAGUCUAGACAGCGUCCGUCUCAUUCUUUCCUGAUGCAUAGAUACUCUCCUGUGUAUCAAAACACCUCAAAUUCAGUUGAAAAGUAAAAAAGCAAG